This 982-nucleotide long non-coding RNA is filed under the name Homo sapiens (human). Its description in RNAcentral is "HSALNT0315683". The record is from RNAcentral. Lineage: Eukaryota; Metazoa; Chordata; Mammalia; Primates; Hominidae.
AGACAGAGUCUGACUCUGUUACCCAGGCUGGAGCUGGAGUGCGGUGGUGCAAUCUUGGCUCAAUGCAACCUCCACCUCAUGGUUUCAAGCAAUUCUUAUGCCUCAGCCUCCCAAGUAGCUGAGAUUAUAGGCAUGCACCACCAUGCCCAGCUAAUUUUUGUAUUUUUAGUAGAGACAAGGGUUCACCAUGUUGACCAGGGUGGUCUUGAACUCCCGACAUCAAGUAAUCCACCCACCUUGGCCUUCCAAAGUGCUGGGAUUACUUUUCUAUUUUUGAGACAGGUUCUUGCUCUGUCACCCAGGCUGGAGUGCAGUGUUAUGAUCUUGACUUACUGCAACCUCGAAUUCCUGGGCUCAAAGUGAUUCUCCAUCUCAGCCUCCUGAGUAGCUGGGAGUACAGGGGCAUGCCACCAUGCCUGGCUAAUUUUUUAUUAUUAUUAUUUUUUGUAGAGGUGGGGUAUUGCUUUGUUGCCCAGGCUGGUCUCAAACUCCUGGGCUCAAGCGAUCCUCCUGCCUCAGCUUCCCAAAGUGUUGGGAUUAUAGGUGUGAGCCACCAUGGCUGGUUGAGUAGUUUUAUUUUUUACAAAAUAUACUAUGCACACAAGCAGGAUGCUAGCAUGAGAAAUAAGUUACAUUGCUGUUUCUUCAUCUGAUUUUUAUUUCUCCAUGAUUGAAAGAAGUCCUCAAAACAUCACACUGUAUCCCCCAAAUAUAUACAAUUAUUAUUAGUAUUAUUAUUUGAGAUGGAGUCUCACUCUGUUGCCCAGGCUGGAGUGCAGUUGCACGAUCUCAGCUCACUGCAACCUCCGCCUCCUGGGUUCAAGCAAUUCUCCUGCCUCAGCCUCCCAAGUAGCUGAGAUUACAGGUGCGUGCCACCACACCCAGCUAAUUUUUGUAUUUUUAGUAGAGACAGGGUCUUACCAUGUUGGCCAAGCUGGUCUUGAACUCCUGACCUCUAAUGAUCCACCUGCCUCCGCCUCCC